Molecule: long non-coding RNA, 90 nt
Organism: Sander lucioperca (pikeperch)
Lineage: Eukaryota; Metazoa; Chordata; Actinopteri; Perciformes; Percidae
Exons: 4
Source: RefSeq, a predicted model, not a curated record
AAUGUUUCAUUUAAACCAGCCAAGCUGGAUGCAGGAUUCCAGAUAUGGACAAAGAAAGGAAUAAGUAAACGAUAAGAAAAUCUUAAAAAA